This 72-nucleotide transfer RNA is filed under the name Zootermopsis nevadensis. It matches the Rfam family "tRNA". From Rfam's summary of the family: Transfer RNA (tRNA) molecules are approximately 80 nucleotides in length. Their secondary structure includes four short double-helical elements and three loops (D, anti-codon, and T loops). The record is from Rfam by way of RNAcentral. Lineage: Eukaryota; Metazoa; Arthropoda; Insecta; Blattodea; Termopsidae.
GCCACGGUGGUCUAGUGGUUAGAACGCUGGCCUUGUAACCUGGGGUCUCGGGUUCGAUUCCCGGCAGUGCCC